GGCCAUCUGGAGAGUUAGAGGGUGUAAGAGAAGAGGAAGGAGAGAUGGAGAUGUUUAAAAAUGAUUAAAAAAUAAAAAAAUGAAGGAUUUAGGAGCAGACUUUGUAGAACUUGGACCAUUAGAUCUUCACAAGAUAUGUCCAAAUUUGGUACUAUUCACUAUUCGAAUUUGAUAGUUUAUUAUUAUUAUAUUUUUAUUAAAUAUUAAUAAUAUAUAUAA
This 219-nucleotide long non-coding RNA is filed under the name Elaeis guineensis (African oil palm). RNAcentral's name for it is "long non-coding RNA (EGUI_LNC029300)". The record is from RNAcentral. Lineage: Eukaryota; Viridiplantae; Streptophyta; Magnoliopsida; Arecales; Arecaceae.